This 497-nucleotide ribosomal RNA is filed under the name uncultured bacterium. RNAcentral's name for it is "partial 16S ribosomal RNA". It matches the Rfam family "Bacterial small subunit ribosomal RNA", at positions 28 to 507 of the family's 1533-position model. The record is from RNAcentral.
GAUGAACGCUGGCGGCGUACCUAAUACAUGCCAGUCGAGCGAACAGACGAGGAGCUUGCUCCUUUGACGUUAGCGGCGGACGGGUGAGUAACACGUGGGUAACCUACCUAUAAGACUGGGAUAACUUCGGGAAACCGGAGCUAAUACCGGAUAAUAUUUCGAACCGCAUGGUUCGAUAGUGAAAGAUGGCUCUGCUAUCACUUAUAGAUGGACCUGCGCCGUAUUAGCUAGUUGGUAAGGUAACGGCUUACCAAGGCAACGAUACGUAGCCGACCUGAGAGGGUGAUCGGCCACACUGGAACUGAGACACGGUCCAGACUCCUACGGGAGGCAGCAGUAGGGAAUCUUCCGCAAUGGGCGAAAGCCUGACGGAGCAACGCCGCGUGAGUGAUGAAGGUCUUCGGAUCGUAAAACUCUGUUAUUAGGGAAGAACAAACGUGUAAGUAACUGUGCACGUCUUGACGGUACCUAAUCAGAAAGCCACGGCUAACUACGUG